This 232-nucleotide ribosomal RNA is filed under the name uncultured bacterium. Its description in RNAcentral is "partial 16S ribosomal RNA". It matches the Rfam family "Bacterial small subunit ribosomal RNA", at positions 99 to 334 of the family's 1533-position model. The record is from RNAcentral.
CGGACGGGUGAGUAAUGUCUGGGAAACUGCCUGAUGGAGGGGGAUAACUACUGGAAACGGUAGCUAAUACCGCAUAACGUCGCAAGACCAAGGAGGGGGACCUUCGGGCCUCUUGCCAUCGGAUGUGCCCAGAUGGGAUUAGCUAGUAGGUGGGGUAACGGCUCACCUAGGCGACGAUCCCUAGCUGGUCUGAGAGGAUGACCAGCCACACUGGAACUGAGACACGGUCCAG